This 442-nucleotide ribosomal RNA is filed under the name uncultured bacterium. Its description in RNAcentral is "bacterial SSU rRNA". It matches the Rfam family "Bacterial small subunit ribosomal RNA", at positions 337 to 796 of the family's 1533-position model. The record is from RNAcentral.
UCCUACGGGAGGCAGCAGUGGGGAAUAUUGCGCAAUGGGGGAAACCCUGACGCAGCAACGCCGCGUGAGUGAUGAAGGUUUUCGGAUCGUAAAACUCUGUCUUUAGGGACGAUAAUGACGGUACCUAAGGAGGAAGCCACGGCUAACUACGUGCCAGCAGCCGCGGUAAUACGUAGGUGGCAAGCGUUGUCCGGAUUUACUGGGCGUAAAGAGUAUGUAGGUGGGUGCUUAAGUCAGAUGUGAAAUUCCCGGGCUUAACCUGGGCGCUGCAUUUGAAACUGGGCAUCUAGAGUGCAGGAGAGGAAAGUGGAAUUCCUAGUGUAGCGGUGAAAUGCGUAGAGAUUAGGAAGAACACCAGUGGCGAAGGCGACUUUCUGGACUGUAACUGACACUGAGAUACGAAAGCGUGGGUAUCAAACAGGAUUAGAUACCCUGGUAGUCC